RNAcentral lists this ribosomal RNA (491 nucleotides) under uncultured bacterium. RNAcentral's name for it is "partial 16S ribosomal RNA". It matches the Rfam family "Bacterial small subunit ribosomal RNA", at positions 28 to 507 of the family's 1533-position model. The record is from RNAcentral.
GAUGAACGCUGGCUACAGGCUUAACACAUGCCAGUCGAGGGGAAACGACGGGGAAGCUUGCUUCCCCGGGCGUCGACCGGCGCACGGGUGAGUAACGCGUAUCCAACCUGCCUCUGACUGAGGGAUAACCCGUCGAAAGUCGGCCUAAUACCUCAUGGCAUCGUCUGCGGGCAUCCAACGACGAUUAAAGAUUUCAUCGGUCAGGGAUGGGGAUGCGUCUGAUUAGCUAGUUGGCGGGGUAACGGCCCACCAAGGCGACGAUCAGUAGGGGUUCUGAGGGGAAGGUCCCCCACAUUGGAACUGAGACACGGACCAAACUCCUACGGGAGGCAGCAGUGAGGAAUAUUGGUCAAUGGGCGAGAGCCUGAACCAGCCAAGUAGCGUGCAGGAUGACGGCCCUAUGGGUUGUAAACUGCUUUUAUGCGGGGAUAAAGUGAGGGACGUGUCCUUCAUUGCAGGUACCGCAUGAAUAAGGACCGGCUAAUUCCGUG